CUGACAGAAGAGAGUGAGCACACAUGGUGCCUUUCUUGCAUGGUGAAUUAAUGGGAGAGAGUUCAUGCUUGAAGCUAUGUGUGCUCACUUCUCUCUCUGUCAG
Molecule: microRNA precursor, 103 nt
Filed under: Triticum aestivum (bread wheat)
Lineage: Eukaryota; Viridiplantae; Streptophyta; Magnoliopsida; Poales; Poaceae
Also listed under: 1 other name
Description: mir-156 microRNA precursor family
Rfam family: mir-156 microRNA precursor family
About the family: This family represents the plant microRNA (miRNA) precursor mir-156. Animal miRNAs are transcribed as ~70nt precursors and subsequently processed by the Dicer enzyme to give a ~22nt product. In plants the precursor sequences may be longer, and the carpel factory (caf) enzyme appears to be involved in processing.
Source: Rfam by way of RNAcentral